Molecule: ribosomal RNA, 253 nt
Filed under: uncultured bacterium
Lineage: Bacteria
Description: partial 16S ribosomal RNA
Rfam family: Bacterial small subunit ribosomal RNA
Source: RNAcentral
UACGUAGGGUGCAAGCGUUAAUCGGAAUCACUGGGCGUAAAGCGCACGUAGGCGGCUUGUUAAGUCAGGGGUGAAAUCCUGGAGCUCAACUCCAGAACUGCCUUUGAUACUGGCGAGCUUGAGUCCGGGAGAGGUGAGUGGAACUGCGAGUGUAGAGGUGAAAUUCGUAGAUAUUCGCAAGAACACCAGUGGCGAAGGCGGCUCACUGGCCCGGUACUGACGCUGAGGUGCGAAAGCGUGGGGAGCAAACAGG